CAGAGCAGUAAUAUUUUACAACAUAACUACAGUUUCCUGGGAAGAUGGUCAUGUGCAGACGGGUUGCAGAGAGAAGGAAAUUGUUUCACCUUCAUCUUCCUGGGCCAUUUCCAGAUAUGAAUUGCAGAGAAAUAUUUCAAUAUAUCCUCACCCAAAUGUGCUUUUAAAAGUACAUUUCUUUUUAAUAUAAUAAGAUUUAUAUUCUUUGUGUUUGUUUAGAGGGUAAACCUGGAUUUGUAUUUCUAGAAGUUGCUUUCAAUGAAGAAAUUUGAAAGAAAUAGUAUUUCAGAAAAAUCAAAACAAGCCAUAGAAAUCUAGUAUUUUUCGGAUGCUAUACUGGGCUGCAUGAAGUCUAAAUCCAUAAUAUGUAUGAAUAAUGUAUUCUAAAGUAAAUACUAUAUUUUGUUAAAUUA
Molecule: long non-coding RNA, 413 nt
Organism: Piliocolobus tephrosceles (Ugandan red Colobus)
Lineage: Eukaryota; Metazoa; Chordata; Mammalia; Primates; Cercopithecidae
Exons: 2
Source: RefSeq, a predicted model, not a curated record